UACGUAGACCUCAAGCGUUAUCCGAAUUUAUUGGGCGUAAAGAGCAUGUAGGAGGUUGUGCGCGUCUUAUGUUAAAUCCCACCGCUCAACGGUGGAUCUGCAUGGGAUACGGCACGGCUAGAGGGGGUUAGAGGUGAGCAGAACGCACGGUGUAGGGGUGAAAUCCGUUGAUAUCGUGCGGAAUACCAAAGGCGAAGGCAGCUCACUGGGACCUUCCUGACUCUAAGAUGCGAAAGCGUGGGGAUCAAAAAGG
Molecule: ribosomal RNA, 253 nt
Filed under: uncultured bacterium
Lineage: Bacteria
Description: partial 16S ribosomal RNA
Rfam family: Bacterial small subunit ribosomal RNA
Source: RNAcentral